RNAcentral lists this transfer RNA (75 nucleotides) under Sulfobacillus acidophilus. RNAcentral's name for it is "tRNA-Gly". It matches the Rfam family "tRNA". From Rfam's summary of the family: Transfer RNA (tRNA) molecules are approximately 80 nucleotides in length. Their secondary structure includes four short double-helical elements and three loops (D, anti-codon, and T loops). RNAcentral also lists the same sequence under 2 other names. The record is from RNAcentral. Lineage: Bacteria; Bacillati; Bacillota; Clostridia; Eubacteriales; Clostridiales Family XVII. Incertae Sedis.
GCGGAAGUAGCUCAGCGGUAGAGCAUCGCCUUGCCAAGGCGAGGGUCGCGGGUUCAAGUCCCGUCUUCCGCUCCA